This 249-nucleotide ribosomal RNA is filed under the name uncultured bacterium. RNAcentral's name for it is "partial 16S ribosomal RNA". It matches the Rfam family "Bacterial small subunit ribosomal RNA", at positions 57 to 305 of the family's 1533-position model. The record is from RNAcentral.
GCAAGUCGAGGGGUAACAGGUAGCUUGCUAUGCUGACGACCGGCGCACGGGUGCGUAACGCGUAUAGAACCUACCUUUUACAGAGGGAUAGCCUUUAGAAAUGAAGAUUAAUACCUCAUAGUAUUGCAGAUUGGCAUCGAUCAGCAAUUAAAGAUUUAUCGGUAAAAGAUGGCUAUGCGUCCUAUUAGCUAGAUGGUAAGGUAACGGCUUACCAUGGCAACGAUAGGUAGGGGCCCUGAGAGGGGGAUC